This is a long non-coding RNA of Cyprinodon tularosa, 812 nucleotides long. RefSeq lists it as uncharacterized. The record is from RefSeq and is a predicted model, not a curated record. The transcript is spliced from 3 exons. NCBI's taxonomy places the organism in Eukaryota, Metazoa, Chordata, Actinopteri, Cyprinodontiformes, Cyprinodontidae.
UGGACCCCCUAAGUGCCUCGUUUCACGUGAAUGCAGAGUCACUUAUAAGGACGGACAGAUCGGGCUAAAAGCGCAGCGGGAGGCUCUCUGUAGGGAUCCAGGAGGGGGUGAGGUUUGAUGGAAGAGCAAGAAGGGGAAUUGAACUCUCAACUUCAACUUUUUACAUGUUGCUGUGUUGAGGGCGGUCAGUGUGGUGACCUCUCUGCACUAGGAGGGGUCCGCUGGUGACCUCUGCAUCCCCUUCCAGCGGCAGCUCAAUGCAGACCAUUCAUGAGAGCAAGAAUGCACCUGACUCCUGAUCCUGCUUCUUUCAACAAAACACCUUUUGGCUGCAUAAACGUGAACGAACUGAUACGCUCUGGAGAAUAACAUAAACUUUCACUCUCUUGCAUCGCCUUGUGCAAACUAAAAGUCAGGACGGGAGUAGAAGGCACAAAGGGAAGGACAUGUUGAGGCGUGUCUCUAGGCGCUCAACCAAGUCAGCCUCUAAAUUAUUAAGCUCCCUUCGUACUUCAGCAUCUGGAUAUCAACACAAAAAACCCACUACGUUAACACCCCCUCUACUCGCCCAGCAGGACAGGGUAGGGAAGAAGAGGAGGUGAAGGAAAAGUGAACACGUUGUGUUUUUACAGCUGAGGUCGCUGAAGUUGGAUGUGCAGGAUCAGGCAGUGAGCAAAGGAUUGGUGGUGAUAUCUUCAGACAGCUCCCUGCCAAAAGGGAUCCAUCAGUCAACAGCUUGCUUUGUGUAAUCUGUACCAAUUGUUUGAUUGGCUGUUGAUAAGUGUUUUAGCAGUACUUAAACAAUAAGAUAU